This 197-nucleotide ribosomal RNA is filed under the name uncultured bacterium. RNAcentral's name for it is "partial 16S ribosomal RNA". It matches the Rfam family "Bacterial small subunit ribosomal RNA", at positions 328 to 539 of the family's 1533-position model. The record is from RNAcentral.
ACGCUCGACACCUACGGGAGGCAGCAGGUGGGGAAUAUUGCACAAUGGGGGAAACCCGUGAUGCAGCGACGCCGCGUGGAGGAAGAAGGUCUUCGGAUUGUAAACUCCUGUUGUUGGGAAAAGAGGAUGGUACCCAACAAGGAAGUGACGGCUAACUACGUGCCACAGCCGCGGUAAUCUGAGCGGGCUGGCAAGGC